This 83-nucleotide transfer RNA is filed under the name Chlamydiales bacterium. Its description in RNAcentral is "tRNA-Tyr". It matches the Rfam family "tRNA". Rfam says of the family: Transfer RNA (tRNA) molecules are approximately 80 nucleotides in length. Lineage: Bacteria; Pseudomonadati; Chlamydiota; Chlamydiia; Chlamydiales. The record is from RNAcentral. RNAcentral also lists the same sequence under 1 other name.
GGGGGUGUCGCAUAGUGGCCAAUUGCAUCGGACUGUAAAUCCGACGACGUACGUCUACGUUGGUUCGAAUCCAACCACCCCCA